This 497-nucleotide ribosomal RNA is filed under the name uncultured bacterium. RNAcentral describes it as "partial 16S ribosomal RNA". It matches the Rfam family "Bacterial small subunit ribosomal RNA", at positions 28 to 507 of the family's 1533-position model. The record is from RNAcentral.
GAUGAACGCUGGCGGCGUGCCUAAUACAUGCAAGUCGAGCGAACGGACGAGAAGCUUGCUUCUCUGAUGUUAGCGGCGGACGGGUGAGUAACACGUGGAUAACCUACCUAUAAGACUGGGAUAACUUCGGGAAACCGGAUCUAAUACCGGAUAAUAUUUUGAACCGCAUGGUUCAAAAGUGAAAGACGGUCUUGCUGUCACUUAUAGAUGGAUCCGCGCUGCAUUAGCUAGUUGGUAAGGUAACGGCUUACCAAGGCAACGAUGCAUAGCCGACCUGAGAGGGUGAUCGGCCACACCGGAACUGAGACACGGUCCAGACUCCUACGGGAGGCAGCAGUAGGGAAUCUUCCGCAAUGGGCGAAAGCCUGACGGAGCAACGCCGCGUGAGUGAUGAAGGUCUUCGGAUCGUAAAACUCUGUUAUUAGGGAAGAACAUAUGUGUAAGUAACUGUGCACAUCUUGACGGUACCUAAUCAGAAAGCCACGGCUAACUACGUG